RNAcentral lists this ribosomal RNA (1311 nucleotides) under Triticum aestivum (bread wheat). Its description in RNAcentral is "partial small subunit ribosomal RNA". The record is from RNAcentral. Lineage: Eukaryota; Viridiplantae; Streptophyta; Magnoliopsida; Poales; Poaceae.
AUGGAGCUCCUGAACCCAAGUCCAGAUAUGCCUAUUUCAGGAGGUAAACUGGAGCUGUUGCGGAUGGCGCCUGUAUCUUGUGCAGCAACCGCAUCUGCUGUAUGUGUUGCUGUUGCAUUGGUGCUCGAGUCCUUGGAGUACCAGCCUGUUAUCUGUGAUGAGUUGCAGGUUGGUCCUUGUAGUGUUACUGUCUGGUCUGCUGAUGACACAGUUGCGGUUGGCCAUGCUGCAACGCCCCUGGAUCAAGGAUUGCAUGAGUGUUGUUAUUAUGUUGCUCCUGUGUUGGUACUUUUUUGGCAAAGGCAAAGAAAGAUGUUGCAAAGCUGCAAGAGAAGGAAGAAGCACGACGCACCGAGUCUGCCUGAGCUCUUCAAAGAACUCGAGGUCGUAUAUGGCAGAGGCGGCAGCGAAGUGGACGACCCCGGCCAGCCGGUGCCGCUCGAUGUGGCUCAGCGCCACGUUCUUCUGCAGGUCCGCUUCGUCACUGGCAUUCCCGGUGUUGUUCUCAACAAUGGUGUUGUUGGUGCCGUUCUUCUCGGCGGCGGUGGUGGUGUUGCUGGCGCUGCCUUCCACGGUGGUGUUCUCGACGAUGGUGUUGUUGGUGCCGUUCUUCUCGGCGGCGGUGGUUGUGUUGUUGGCGCUGGCUUCCAUGGUGCUGUUGGUGGUGGCAUUGUUCACGGCCGUGGAGGCGCUGGCUUCCACGGUGCUGUUGUUGGUGGCGUUGUUCACGGCGGUGGUGGCGCUGGCUUCCAUGGUGCUGUUGUUGGUGGCGUUGUUCACGGCGGUGCUGGCGCUGGCUUCCACGGUGCUGUUGUUGGUGGCAUUGUUCACGGCGGUGGUGAUAUUGGUGGCGUAUGUGAGAUGCCGGAACAUGACGCCGGUGCUGCGCAGCACCUGGACCGUCGACGCCGACCUGUUCUCGGCACCAACCACGAUCCAUACCAGGGGUGGCGGGACGUGCCGCAGCGUGUGCCCGAGCCUCGUCACCGACGCCUCCUGCGACAUGCCGUCCUCGUCCGGCCUUGUGACGGUGACGAUCAGCAGGAGGCCGAUGUCAGGGACAGCAGGGGGCGACGGCGGAGCCACUCGCUGAACACCGCCAAACGGAAGGACCGAGGCGCGGAUGCCGUCGAUGAACGGGCCGCCGGUGGCGGCCAGUGGCGCCAAGGCGCCGACGACGAAGCAGACGGCGAGGUGGAUGACGACGGCUUUGCGCUUGCUCCAUCUCUGCGCCCUCUUCCUGGACCUCUCCGCGGAGUCCAUCCCCAGCUACCGCUGCUUCUUCUCUUCUCCCUACCUGCUCUCGCCUGA